This 854-nucleotide long non-coding RNA is filed under the name Gadus morhua (Atlantic cod). Its description in RNAcentral is "lncRNA (ENSGMOG00000028364.1)". Lineage: Eukaryota; Metazoa; Chordata; Actinopteri; Gadiformes; Gadidae. The record is from RNAcentral.
GGGGUCUGUUUAUAAAAGAGCAUCAACUCGCUUAGGCCAUGACGUUCACCCAUCCCUUCCUCUGGAGCAACCGCUGCCCUGUGAAUAAGAGCCGAUGGAGGAGAUCUCAGCUUCGGUGGUGAUGACAGAACAUGAUUUCGGUUCUGCUCCUAAACCAGAGCUGACUGAACGAAGUGGACUGCUGGAUUUACUGGAGCCAGGAGAUGGCUGCAUGGCAGACAAGGGUUUCACCAUCGAGAAGCCACUAGCUGAUCGUGGGGCAACGCUGAUUAUACCACCCUUCAAGAUGACAGGUAGGCAUGAAAGGAAUGAACAUUUCAAAUUAAAACUUUGACCCAAAUGUGACCAUUAAGAUAUGCAGACAAAUGUUUAAGAUGGACUGAAGCACUCACAAUAAUAUUACUAAUUAAUUUAUCUCUAACCACUGCGCAGUUCACUGAAGAGGAUGCUCUGAAAACACAAGCAAUCGCUCGACUUCGAAUCCUCGUAGAAAGAGCAAUAGGCAGAGUCAAGGAAUACCGCAUCUGGGAACGCACUGUCCUUUCACCUUGUCUGCGACAGUCAAUCAGCUGUGGACCGUCUGCUGUGUGAUGACCAACUUCCAGGGACCACUUGAUUUAAAAGGCUACAUCCCUGUUGAAUAGUGUUUCUACUCAAACAUGUACCUAUAAAUAUUAAAUAUAAUAUAUAAAUAUUAAAACGAGAGGCACUGAACAUUUGGAGUGGUCCCUUCAUUUUUUCCAGAGCUGUAAUUUUGUACACUGAAAACAUUGUAUAUAUUGAAUGACAUGUAAUGUAAUUGAAUGAGAAGUCUUUCAUCUAUAAUCAAUUUUAAAGUCCAGUCAGUCCAUCCU